RNAcentral lists this small nuclear RNA (105 nucleotides) under Apocalathium aciculiferum. RNAcentral's name for it is "partial Dictyostelium signal recognition particle". The record is from RNAcentral. Lineage: Eukaryota; Dinophyceae; Thoracosphaerales; Thoracosphaeraceae.
GGGUGCAAGGCGGGGGAGGACUGCUGCCCCCGAAGCUUGUGGGACAAGGGCCUCCUAUUGCGGGCCCACUCCGGCGAAGGCUCCGGCAUGCCGAAAGCGCCCAAG